CCCUAGAACAUGGGAUUACCCAUUUUCUCCUAACCCAAAUUCUCCCCUGCCUGCUAGUGCCGACCUCAGCCCCCUCACUUAUCCUCUUUCAUUUCCCGGCCACCGGAGCUCAAGCUUCGCCGACAAAAGCUCCUUCUCAUCGCUGUCGUUCCUUCUGUCACCCUCCUUCUUCAGUUCUGGUCGGUUUAUAGCGUGGCAGCAAGGGAAAAGCUUUUUCCGAUCGGACAGUCACCUUCGAUUUUCUUUUUUCGUUUUUUCGGCCACUCCUGCUCAACUGGUCGUCCCCAACUCUGUUCUCAUGGCACCGGCGCUCAGUCUCUCUCUCUCUCUCUGUCCCCCCUUCUGUUUCGGCUAGCGCAGCAAUGGUGAGCUGCGAUUAUGGCUCACGAUUGGGACAGUCCCGCUAUCCGUUUCCGUUUCAUUCUUCGAGGAGGCCAGCUAAAGGCCGGCCGGUUACACCCUUCCAUCGUCCCUAGUAGCUUCACCGGCCACCAUCCUCAUCAGUUUCGGCCGAGUUACCGCCUACAGUAACGGAUUUUUGAACAUCGGAGCUAUUUCCGGAAAACUGAUCCAGUGCCUCCAUAAAUCGACACUGGAUUUGCGCUAUUCAUGGAAUUCCGAGGCUGGGAUGUAAAAAUCGCUCAGUUUCAAUGAGGCAUGACUACCCGGUCACCGCGCACGGCGGACGGCGGCGGAGGUUCAGUGACCGGCCGGUGAGACUCCGGCGAGGCCUUGAGAGGCAGGAUUUCUUCCUUCUUGUGACGAUCGCGAUCCUGCAAUCCAAUUUUUAUCGAUAUGAUUGCGGGUCACAAAGAACCAAGUGUCAGAUGGCAGAAUGCCGGAAAAAAGAAUAUAACCUCUUGAUAAGCUAUAAAGCUAGAUCAGAAUCAUUGUCCACUCUCGAGGGUUACGCUCUUGAGGAUUACAGUGGUUAUGGAGCUGAACAAGGUGAAAAAGUACGUUGAAAUCUUGAGAACUAGCUGCUUUAUAAACCUUCAGGUGUUUGAUAAUUUCUAGAUUGGAAGUCCAACUACAACCAAGCAUUCUUAUAGAGGCAGAAAAAACAACAUAGCACAUGCUGCAAUUGCUUCAACAUUUUAUGGAGACCUUGGCAUUCAGGAAGAUGAUAUAUUUGUCUUUGAUGGUGCAAAAUGUGACAUAUCCUGCCUGCAGAUUCUUUUUGGAUCUAAUGUCACAAUGGCGGUGCAAGAUCCAUCAUACCCAUACCCGGUAAUUUAUGUUUUUCCAUUAGAGGUAUAAUUGUCAAAUUUGUGAUAUAUCUUCUUUUUCAUCUCCUUUUCUGUUUGUUCCUCCUUCCAUGUCAUGUUCAAUUGAACAUUGUACAAUUUGCCUUAAGUCUUAUAAUUUAUCUGUUUUAAUAGUACAAUUUGCCUUUUGUAAUGUGGAUGAAAACUGCCUACAUGCAAUUUUUGUUUUUUACA
This is a non-coding RNA of Jatropha curcas, 1442 nucleotides long. The record is from RefSeq and is a predicted model, not a curated record. NCBI's taxonomy places the organism in Eukaryota, Viridiplantae, Streptophyta, Magnoliopsida, Malpighiales, Euphorbiaceae.